This 1136-nucleotide ribosomal RNA is filed under the name uncultured organism. RNAcentral's name for it is "bacterial SSU rRNA". It matches the Rfam family "Bacterial small subunit ribosomal RNA", at positions 281 to 1455 of the family's 1533-position model. The record is from RNAcentral.
GGUUAGGGGGUGUGAGAGCAUGACCCCCAGCAUUGGCACUGAAACACUGGCCAAACACCUACGGGUGGCUGCAGUCGAGAAUCUUCCACAAUGGGGGAAACCCUGAUGGAGCGAUGCUGCGUGCGGGAUGAAUGCCUUCGGGUUGUAAACCGCUUUUGUAGGGGACGAAAUUUUUGACGGUACCCUUUCGAAUAAGAGGUUGCUAACUCUGUGCCAGCAGCAGCGGUAAUACAGAGACCUCAAGCGUUAUCCGGAUUUACUGGGCGUAAAGCGUCUGUAGGGGGUUUAUUAAGUUCCAAGUAAAAUUUCAAGGCUCAACUUUGAAUUCGCUUGGAAAACUAAUAAACUGGAGUCUAGCAGAGGUGCAUAGAACUUGUGGUGUAGGAGUGAAAUCCGUUGAUAUCACAAGGAACACCAAAGGCGAAGGCAUUGCACUGGGCUAGCACUGACCCUGAGAGACGAAAGCGUGGGGAGCAAAACGGAUUAGAUACCCGUGUAGUCCACGCCCUAAACGAUGAAUGCUAAAUGUUCGGGGAUUCGACCCCCUGGGUGUUACAGCUAACGCGUUAAGCAUUCCGCCUGGGAAGUACGGCCGCAAGGCUAAAACUCAAAGGAAUAGACGGGGAUCCGCACAAGCGGUGGAGCGUCUGGUUUAAUUCGACAGUAAGCGUGGUACCUCACCAGGGUUUGACAUCCCUUGACAGCCUUGGAAACAAGGUUUCCUUCGGGCAAGGUGACAGGUGCUGCAUGGUCGUCGUCAGUUCGUGCCGUGAGGUGUUCCGUUAAGUCGGGAAACGAACGAAACCCCUAUUGCAUGUUACAACUUCUCAUGCAAGACUGCUCGGAUAUACUGGGAGGAAGGUGGGGAUGACGUCAGAUCUGCAUGGUCCUUAUACCCUGGGCGACACAGGCGCUACAGUGGCAGAGACAAAGGGUUGCAAAACCGCAAGGUGAAGCUAAUCCCAAAAACUUUGUCUAAGUUCGGAUUGAAGGCUGCAAUUCGCCUUCAUGAAGCUGGAAUCGCUAGUAAUCGUGAAUCAGCCACGUCACGGUGAAUAUGUUCCCGGAUCUUGUACUCACCGCCCGUCACACCAAGAGAGUUGGUAGCUCCCNGAAGCGUCCCGUUUUAGCGGGGC